AUCUCACCCACAGAAAAUGGCAGACAUGAGAACACGCAGGGGAAUGCUGCUCCCCACUGCUCCAUCAGACACCUGCUUUGCACCUGGCCUGCCUGAUCCUUUUCUUCCUAGAUACGAAGAGAUCAUUCUUGACCCUUGAAAAGCCGUUUACUUGGGAAAAAUGGGAUUCAACGUGGGGAAAGCAGUGCGAGCUAUAACAAUGUGACCAGUUAUGCAUUUCAAAACGUAUUUUCCAGACGUUAAGUAUCUACCUAAGAAAACUUUAACCUAGAACAGCCCCAGGGACAUAACUUUCAGAGGCAGAGACCCACCGCACGCAGCGGACGCUGAAGCGGACAUGCAGCCGCCCUGUGUCCGACCCACGGCCGGCCCAGCAGCCACGUCACCCCCGGCCCUCCUCACCCGGCCCCGCGGCCCUUCCCCAGGGGCGGCACGGGGCACACCGGCGAGACACGCCCCGAGGGGGCCGAACGGAGCGAUCUCGCCGCGCCCCUUCCCCUAACGCUGCCCGAGAAACGGAGGAGCCCGAGGAACACGCAGACCGACCUCCACCUCGUCCUCUUCUUCCCUCUCGCCUCCCUCCACGCCCUCCGCUGCCGCCAUGUCGCCAGCCGCUCUCCCGCCGCCUCGCCUCAGCGCGCACCACGUGGGCGCGGCGCCGCCAUCUUAGAGGGGGCCCGGCCCCGCCCCUGUCCGUGCCUCCAGCAGGAGGCGGCCGUGAGGCGCUUUGUCGCUGCGCUGUCGUUACGUUUGCCGUGCUUGCGUCGAGGGUGCCUUCCUACUCACUGUGCCACCAUUAAUUCAAAUGUUAAAUAAAUACCUGUGAUAAUAAUAAAAGCUGGUGCCGAGGGAACUCACGGCAGCCUCUAC
Gallus gallus (chicken) is the source of this 870-nucleotide long non-coding RNA. RefSeq lists it as uncharacterized. Lineage: Eukaryota; Metazoa; Chordata; Aves; Galliformes; Phasianidae. The record is from RefSeq and is a predicted model, not a curated record. The transcript is spliced from 2 exons.